UACGAAGGGGGCUAGCGUUGCUCGGAAUCACUGGGCGUAAAGGGUGCGUAGGCGGGUCUUUAAGUCAGGGGUGAAAUCCUGGAGCUCAACUCCAGAACUGCCUUUGAUACUGAGGAUCUUGAGUUCGGGGAGAGGUGAGUGGAACUGCGAGUGUAGAGGUGAAAUUCGUAGAUAUUCGCAAGAACACCAGUGGCGAAGGCGGCUCACUGGCCCGGUACUGACGCUGAGGUGCGAAAGCGUGGGGAGCAAACAGG
RNAcentral lists this ribosomal RNA (254 nucleotides) under uncultured bacterium. RNAcentral describes it as "partial 16S ribosomal RNA". It matches the Rfam family "Bacterial small subunit ribosomal RNA", at positions 524 to 776 of the family's 1533-position model. The record is from RNAcentral.